CCUACGGGAGGCAGCAGUGAGGAAUAUUGGGCAAUGGGCGGACGCCUGAACCAGCCAAGUCGCGGGAGGGAAGACGGCCCUAGGGGUGGUAAACCUCUUUUGUCAGGGAGUAAGUGGCGCUACGUGUAGCGUUAUCGAGAGGACCUGAAGAAAAAGCAGCGGCGAACUCCGUGCCAGCAGCCGAGGUAAUACGGAGGAUGCGAGCGUUAUCCGGAUUUAUUGGGUUUAAAGGGUGCGUAGGCGGAAUGCCAAGUCAGCGGUAAAAUCGCGGGGCUCAACCUCGAUCCGCCGUUGAAACUGGCGUUCUUGAGUGGGCGAGAGGUCUGCGGAAUGCGUGGUGUAGCGGUGAUAUGCCUAGAUAUCACGCAGAACUCCGAUUGCGAAGGC
This 387-nucleotide ribosomal RNA is filed under the name uncultured bacterium. RNAcentral describes it as "partial 16S ribosomal RNA". It matches the Rfam family "Bacterial small subunit ribosomal RNA", at positions 338 to 722 of the family's 1533-position model. The record is from RNAcentral.